CACACUGAACCGCUACAAGAGGGCAA
Molecule: non-coding RNA, 26 nt
Filed under: Cricetulus griseus (Chinese hamster)
Lineage: Eukaryota; Metazoa; Chordata; Mammalia; Rodentia; Cricetidae
Source: RNAcentral